UAUGAAUUCUGAUUAGGCGUAAUUGGGAAGAUUUGGGGGGUACAUUUUAAUCUGGCCUUAUUCAAAAUUGAACUCCUUCUUUCAUUUUUCGUUAGAUUAUUCCAAAACAGGGGGGAGAAUUCGUGCAUAACACGAAUUUCAUUAGAGACCAUGUUGAUUAUACAAAAUUAAGGAGUUCUUAAAGGGAGAAUUAUUUCAAAUUGGGGUUAAAUUAAAACCUUCUUUCAUUUUUCGUUUGGUUGACAUCGUCGACAUCCUAUACGAUAUUGCAAUGGCGCGGUGUCCAAAGUACAGACGCCAUCAGCGCAAUGAGAGGAGGAGGAGACGGUCUGGUUCUACGACGGUUGAUCAAAAACCCACGAGGGGCAUCCAUCCAUCCAUCCAUCCAUCCAUCCAUCCAUCCACGACACGAAGCGUUUCGUGGAGCAAAAUGAACCAAUAGCCGCUGUCGUCGCACAUCAUGCAGCACAUCAUGCAGCACAGGAAAUGCCGUCCAGCAACCUCCCCGUUAGGCCCAACUGCCUUCCUGUAUAGCAGUAGGACCCCUCCUUGUACAGCAUUGGGGCAAGGAAGACCGUGAGCGCCUUUGUGAAUCGAGUGACCGUGGAACAAAGAGCAGGCAUCUAUCGACCAAGUCCUUUGUAUGUAUUCAAUAAAGAUGUUUCAGUGAAAGAACA
Ornithodoros turicata is the source of this 677-nucleotide long non-coding RNA. RefSeq lists it as uncharacterized. Lineage: Eukaryota; Metazoa; Arthropoda; Arachnida; Ixodida; Argasidae. The record is from RefSeq and is a predicted model, not a curated record. The transcript is spliced from 2 exons.